RNAcentral lists this ribosomal RNA (117 nucleotides) under uncultured bacterium. RNAcentral's name for it is "partial 16S ribosomal RNA". It matches the Rfam family "Bacterial small subunit ribosomal RNA", at positions 1357 to 1482 of the family's 1533-position model. The record is from RNAcentral.
AUACGGUGAAUACGUUCCCGGACCUUACACACACCGCCCGUCAAGCCAUGGAAGCCGGGUGUACCUAAAGUCGGUAACCGUAAGGAGCCGCCUAGGGUAAAACUGGUGACUGGGGCU